This is a non-coding RNA of Leptidea sinapis, 73 nucleotides long. NCBI's taxonomy places the organism in Eukaryota, Metazoa, Arthropoda, Insecta, Lepidoptera, Pieridae. The record is from the annotation of a RefSeq genome assembly.
GAACGGUUGGCUCAGUUGGUAAGAGCGCUCGGAUGGCACUUGAGAGGCGUGGGUUCGAGUCUCGCAUCGUUCA